UGCACGGGCGGGGGGCGCACGGAGAAGUCCCUGCUGACAAGAAGCGCAGAUCGCAAAGCUCGAGGCCCAAGCCUUUCAGCAGGGGGAACGGAGGAGGAGGUCGUGUUGGUGUCUACAGCUGAGGAGCAUCUAAGGACAUUUUUUUAUCUGUCAAAGUUCUGGGGCCACCCCCUCAGUGCAUCGUUGUGGAGGUUUGUAAUGAAGUGUGCCAGGCUCUCAGGAGGGACUGCGCCGAGGAGGUAGCCUGAGGAGUGCUGACUGAGCCUGCUUGAGACCUGUAGCUCUAUCUGAUUUUUACUGCCAGAUACCUACCGCUCCACCGGGUGGAUAUACCACAUUUUCGUUUUUCCAUUCUCUUCUUGACGGACGGUUAGGUAGUUUCCACCUUUGAGCUCCUGCAAACGCUGUUACUGUGAAAAUCAUGAUACACACAAGACUUUCACGCACAUAUCCACAACUUUGGACCUCAGUGUUGGUUUUGUCAUUCAGGACUUUGAUGAGAAGCUUCAGUAACCCAACCAUGCUUUGCCCCUUUGAGUUUUACUUUACUUUCUGUAAAAUGGACAUGAUAACAGUACUGCAUAAAGUCCUAAGAAUUAAGAACAUGAAUGGAAAGCACUCAACACAGUGUCUUACACGUGGCGUGGCGGGCGUCAAUACCUGGGGGCUUUUUCUGUCUUGCGGAGACAGGAAAUUCAAAUGGUUAAAAGGUCUUUGGAGUCUUAACAACUGGGUGGGAAGGCCGGCUCUGCUGUCACUUCCCCCCGGGCUGGGCUGCCCGUGGGAAAGGCAACUCACUCUUCUGAGCUUCCGUUUCUUAACCUGUUAGAAGAAAGCAAAUGAAUGCAGUUGUGAGUAUCCGUUCUCCAAACAGGAAUCUGUCUGGGUCGCGAUCGGGCUGGAGUUGUAUAGCAGAAUAAUAACAGCUGCCGUUCCCUAUUGUGAAUAAAACUGGGCCAAUCUGUAUUGUUUCUGAACUCCUAGUAGGGACCCGUAUUAUUCUUGUCCAGCAACAUCUUAUAUGGAACCCCAGCAUAUAAAGCAAAUGAAGUUGGAACUACCACAGUUAAAGCGGGGGUAAUAUCAUAGGUGUGUGCGGGUUUAAUCCUGGCUCUGCCGGGUACUGGCUGUGUGAGCCUAAACAAAUUAUCUCUCUGAGAUUCAGUUUCUUCAUUUGUAAGAUGGGGAAAUGAUGCCAACCUAAUAGCGUUGUUAUGUGGCUCAACUGAGGUAAUAUAUGCAAAGCAUAUAUUGGCAUAAAGCCUGGCUUGUGAUAAGAACCGAGUAAGGGUGGCUGUUGCUGUUGUGGCUGUGGCUGUGACCACCUUCGCUGACCACAGGGUGGAGUGGAGAUCUCCCAGCCUUGCAUCGGUGCCCUCCAUCGUCUCGCCCAACCUGCAUUUCUAGUCUUCAACACCUACACUGCAGCCAAGUUGAAUUACAACGUCCCGUCUAGGAUCCAGCACUGCUGGGUCUGGGCGUAUGCUCUGCCCGCUGGGGGGACCAUCCUCUGUCCUCUCCCUGGCUCCAAGAGUACGAACGUAUGCUUUUUAAAACUUUUAUCAUGGAAAUUUUCAGAAUGUACAGAAGUUAGAAAAGCUAGUAUAAUGAACCCUCACGUAGUCACCACUCAGCUCCAGGUGUUACCGACCUUGUUUCCUGUAUGCACCCCAACAUCCUCGCCCCACUAGAUUAGAUCCCAAGCAGUUUAUCAUGUCACCUGUAAAUUCAUCAUUAUGUAUCUCUAAGGGAAAGAUGCUUUUUAAAAAACAUAACUACAGAGGCGCCCGGGUGGCUCAGUCAGUUUAGCGCCCAACUUCGGCUCAGGUCAUGAUCUCACGGUUUGUGAGUUGGAGCCCCACAUCAGGCUCUGUGC
This is a long non-coding RNA of Felis catus (domestic cat), 1876 nucleotides long. RefSeq lists it as uncharacterized. The record is from RefSeq and is a predicted model, not a curated record. Lineage: Eukaryota; Metazoa; Chordata; Mammalia; Carnivora; Felidae. The transcript is spliced from 3 exons.